UACGGAGGGUGCGAGCGUUGUCCGGAAUCACUGGGCGUAAAGGGCGCGUAGGCGGCAGGCCAAGCGUGCGGUGAAAGUCCGGGGCUCAACCCCGGAUCUGCCGUGCGGACUGGUUUGCUAGAGCACUGUAGAGGCGAGUGGAAUUCCGGGUGUAGCGGUGGAAUGCGUAGAGAUCCGGAAGGACACCGGUGGCGAAGGCGGCUCGCUGGGCAGUGGCUGACGCUGAGGCGCGACAGCGUGGGGAGCAAACAGG
RNAcentral lists this ribosomal RNA (253 nucleotides) under uncultured bacterium. RNAcentral describes it as "partial 16S ribosomal RNA". It matches the Rfam family "Bacterial small subunit ribosomal RNA", at positions 524 to 776 of the family's 1533-position model. The record is from RNAcentral.